This 465-nucleotide ribosomal RNA is filed under the name uncultured bacterium. RNAcentral's name for it is "partial 16S ribosomal RNA". It matches the Rfam family "Bacterial small subunit ribosomal RNA", at positions 28 to 507 of the family's 1533-position model. The record is from RNAcentral.
GACGAACGCUGGCGGCGUGCUUAACACAUGCAAGUCGAACGGUAAGGCUCCAGCUUGCUGGGGUACACGAGUGGCGAACGGGUGAGUAACACGUGGGUGACCUGCCCUGCACUUCGGGAUAAGCCUGGGAAACUGGGUCUAAUACCGGAUAGGACCGCACCGUGAGGGUGUGGUGGAAAGUUUUUUCGGUGUGGGAUGGGCCCGCGGCCUAUCAGCUUGUUGGUGGGGUAAUGGCCUACCAAGGCGGCGACGGGUAGCCGGCCUGAGAGGGUGGACGGCCACAUUGGGACUGAGACACGGCCCAGACUCCUACGGGAGGCAGAAGUGGGGAAUAUUGCACAAUGGGCGGAAGCCUGAUGCAGCGACGCCGCGUGGGGGAUGACGGCCUUCGGGUUGUAAACUCCUUUCACCAUCGACGAAGGGUUUCUGACGGUAGAUGGAGAAGAAGCACCGGCUAACUACGUG